AACCAGACUCCUACGGGAGGCAGCAGUGGGGAAUAUUGCACAAUGGGGGAAACCCUGAUGCAGCGACGCCGCGUGAGCGAUGAAGUAUUUCGGUAUGUAAAGCUCUAUCAGCAGGGAAGAAAAUGACGGUACCUGACUAAGAAGCCCCGGCUAACUACGUGCCAGCAGCCGCGGUAAUACGUAGGGGGCAAGCGUUAUCCGGAUUUACUGGGUGUAAAGGGAGCGUAGACGGCGGUGCAAGCCAGAUGUGAAAGCCCGGGGCUCAACCCCGGGACUGCUCUGGAAACUGCGGCGCUGGAGUACGGGAGGGGCAGGCGGAAUUCCUGGUGUAGCGGUGAAAUGCGUAGAUAUCAGGAGGAACACCGGUGGCGAAGGCGGCCUGCUGGACUGCGACUGACGUUGAGGCCCGAAAGCGUGGGGAGCAAACAGGAUUAGAUACCCUUGUACA
Molecule: ribosomal RNA, 448 nt
Filed under: uncultured bacterium
Lineage: Bacteria
Description: partial 16S ribosomal RNA
Rfam family: Bacterial small subunit ribosomal RNA
Source: RNAcentral